CCAAAGAAUAAAAAGGGACGGUAU
RNAcentral lists this non-coding RNA (24 nucleotides) under Arabidopsis thaliana (thale cress). Lineage: Eukaryota; Viridiplantae; Streptophyta; Magnoliopsida; Brassicales; Brassicaceae. The record is from RNAcentral.